GAUGAACGCUGGCGGCGUGCUUAACACAUGCAAGUUGAACGAAGCACCAUGAAACAAUCCUUCGGGUGCGUUUCAUGGUGACUUAGUGGCGGACGGGUGAGUAACGCGUGGGUAACCUGCCGUAUGCAGGGGGACAACAGUUGGAAACGGCUGCUAAUACCGCAUAGGCGCACAGCUUCGCAUGAAGCGGUGUGAGAAGAUUUAUCGGCAUACGAUGGACCCGCGUCUGAUUAGCUUGUUGGUGGGGUAGCGGCCUACCAAGGCGACGAUCAGUAGCCGACUUGAGAGAGUGAUCGGACACAUUGGGACUGAGACACGGCCCAA
This 324-nucleotide ribosomal RNA is filed under the name uncultured bacterium. RNAcentral's name for it is "bacterial SSU rRNA". It matches the Rfam family "Bacterial small subunit ribosomal RNA", at positions 28 to 334 of the family's 1533-position model. The record is from RNAcentral.